GAUGAAGAACGCAGCGAAAUGCGAUAACUAAUGUGAAUUGCAGAAUUCCGUGAAUCAUUGAGUCUUUGAACGCACAUUGCGCCCCCUGGUAUUCCGGGGGGCAUGCCUGUCCGAGCGUCAUUGCUGCCCUCAAGCACGGCUUGUGUGUUGGGCCUCCGUCCUCCUCCCGGGGGACGGGCCCGAAAGGCAGCGGCGGCACCGCGUCCGGUCCUCGAGCGUAUGGGGCUUCGUCACCCGCUCUUGUAGGCCCGGCCGGCGCUUGCCGACACAUCAAUCUUUUUUCCAGGUUGACCUCGGAUCAGGUAGGGAUACCCGCUGAACUUAAGCAUAUCAAUAAGCGGAGGA
This 345-nucleotide unclassified non-coding RNA is filed under the name soil metagenome. RNAcentral's name for it is "partial contains 5.8S ribosomal RNA, internal transcribed spacer 2, and large subunit ribosomal RNA". The stretch from base 1 to 120 matches the Rfam family "5.8S ribosomal RNA", at positions 35 to 154 of the family's 154-position model. The record is from RNAcentral.